AACGAACGCUGGCGGCGCGCCUAAUACAUGCAAGUCGAGCGAGAAGGUGUAGCAAUACACUUGUAAAGCGGCGAACGGGUGAGGAAUACAUGGGUAAUCUACCAUCGAGUGGGGAAUAACCAACCGAAAGGUUGGCUAAUACCGCGUACGCCUCCGAGUCUUCGGGUUCGGAGGGAAAGCUGCACUGUGAGUGUAGCGCUCUUUGAUGAGCUCAUGUCCUAUCAGCUUGUUGGUAGGGUAACGGCCUACCAAGGCUUUGACGGGUAGCUGGUCUGAGAGGACGAUCAGCCACACUGGCACUGCGACACGGGCCAGACUCCUACGGGAGGCAGCAGUAAGGAAUAUUGCGCAAUGGGCGAAAGCCUGACGCAGCGACGCCGCGUGGGGGAUGAAGGUCUUCGGAUUGUAAACCCCUUUCGGAGGGAAGAUGGAACGAGCAAUCGUUCGGACGGUACCUCCAGAAGCAGCCACGGCCAACUUCGUGCCAGCAG
Molecule: ribosomal RNA, 491 nt
Filed under: uncultured bacterium
Lineage: Bacteria
Description: bacterial SSU rRNA
Rfam family: Bacterial small subunit ribosomal RNA
Source: RNAcentral